UAACGAUCAGGCGUUGCCGUGAGCUGUAGUGUAGGUUGCAGAUGCGGCUCGGAUCCCGCGUUGCUGUGGCUCUGGCGUAGGCCGGUGGCUACAGCUCCGAUUCAACCCCUAGCCUGGGAACCUCCAUAUGCCGUGGGAGCGGCCCAAGAAAUAGCAACAACAACAACAACAACAACAACGGAAAAAAAAAAAAAAAAAAGAUAUCAAUUGAGAGGCUGUCUAGCUCAGCAAGAGAGAAGGCCUUUUAUUGUUAAGAAUCCCUUAUACCAGAAGUUCCCUUGUGCCACAGCUGGUUAAGGAUCCAGUGUUGUCACUGCUAGGGCUCAAAAAAUCCUUACACCAAAAGAGCUAGGUAACCAGAAUAACAGAACCCAUAGCUCAUGGCCAUAGCUAAUUAUUCAUAACUAGCAACAUUUUCAGAGAUACUUCGGCUCGACUUUAGACUAGUUCUUUGCAUCAAUCUCAAAGGUACCAAAUCUCAAAAUUACCAGUUAAAAUAGGAACUCAGGUACAAGGAAUAAAAUAGGGAUGAAACAGGACACAAGUCAGGCUGCUAUCCUUGCAGAAAGAGACGGAAACCUGAAACUGGAGUGAAUUUUAACCCAAAUGUUAAAACGCUAAGCCCCGGAACUAUCACUGCAGAAUCCCUUCUUGUCUGUGAUCACAGGAAAAGGUGAGACUAGGCUUGUAGCUGGAACCCAGGUAAACUGUGCAGAGAGGAUGCAGAGCCUAGACAACAGGCAACUGUCUUAUGGAAGUGUGAAUGUAGAAUUUUGGGGUAGUUUUGCAGUUAUUUUUUGUUUGUUUGUUUGUUUUGUUUUUUUUUUUUUGGUCUUUUUGCUAUUUCUUGGGCCGCUCCCGCGGCAUAUGGAAAUUCCCAGGCUAGGGGUCCAAUCGGAGCUGUAGCCACCGGCCUAUGCCAGAGCCACAGCAACGCGGGAUCUGAGCCGCGUCUGCAACCUACACCAGAGCUCACGGCAAUGCCGGAUCGUUAACCCGCUGAGCAAGGGCAGGGAUCGAACCUGAACCUCAUGGUUCCUAGUCGGAUUCGUUAACCACUGCGCCACAACGGGAACUCCAGUUUUGCAGUUUUAGGAGUUAAUUGUUUAUGUAGUGCAAGAACCUUAUCAAACUAUCAAGUUACUAGAUCAGUUCAAGCAGUACCCUUUAAAAAAAAAAAAAAACAAGCAGAGAAGCAAAAUUGAGCAUCCAUAUGUCAGUAAACUAUCUUAGUCUUUCCCAUUUGUGAUUAAAGGAAACAAUUAGAUGUACUGGGGAAAAAAAACAAACCAAAGUUUUAGGAACAGCUGUGGUGAUGCUGUGACAUUCAGCAAAUCAUU
RNAcentral lists this long non-coding RNA (1340 nucleotides) under Sus scrofa (pig). RNAcentral's name for it is "lncRNA (ENSSSCG00065017213.1)". The record is from RNAcentral. Lineage: Eukaryota; Metazoa; Chordata; Mammalia; Artiodactyla; Suidae.